CUUUAAUUCAUUUCAGAUAAUCGAUUAACUUUAACAACCAGUGGCAAAUAUUUUACGAAUAUUAAGGACAAAAGGCAAACAAAAACAAUAGACCGGAAUGAAUGGUGGUUACUUAUAGGACGGUCCCUGGAAAUGAGGGAAUGCUGAAUGGGGAGAAAUUUCGCUUUGUAAAAGGCCCCUCGUUUAGAUUGUGUGUAAAAGUCCCCUCGUUUAGAUUGUGCAAUGGUUCUUAAAAUUGCAGAGAACAUAGUACCGAUAUACACA
This 264-nucleotide long non-coding RNA is filed under the name Mytilus galloprovincialis (Mediterranean mussel). The record is from RNAcentral. Lineage: Eukaryota; Metazoa; Mollusca; Bivalvia; Mytilida; Mytilidae.